Molecule: ribosomal RNA, 421 nt
Filed under: Mycobacterium sp. Ri457
Lineage: Bacteria; Bacillati; Actinomycetota; Actinomycetes; Mycobacteriales; Mycobacteriaceae
Description: bacterial SSU rRNA
Rfam family: Bacterial small subunit ribosomal RNA
Source: RNAcentral
GCCCUUCGGGGUACUCGAGUGGCGAACGGGUGAGUAACACGUGGGUGAUCUGCCCUGCACUUUGGGAUAAGCCUGGGAAACUGGGUCUAAUACCGAAUAGGACCGCAUGCUUCAUGGUGUGUGGUGGAAAGCUUUUGCGGUGUGGGAUGGGCCCGCGGCCUAUCAGCUUGUUGGUGAGGUAAUGGCUUACCAAGGCGACGACGGGUAGCCGGCCUGAGAGGGUGACCGGCCACACUGGGACUGAGAUACGGCCCAGACUCCUACGGGAGGCAGCAGUGGGGAAUAUUGCACAAUGGGCGCAAGCCUGAUGCAGCGACGCCGCGUGAGGGAUGACGGCCUUCGGGUUGUAAACCUCUUUCGCCAGGGACGAAGCGCAAGUGACGGUACCUGGAGAAGAAGGACCGGCCAACUACGUGCCAGC